Molecule: non-coding RNA, 72 nt
Organism: Heterocephalus glaber (naked mole-rat)
Lineage: Eukaryota; Metazoa; Chordata; Mammalia; Rodentia; Bathyergidae
Source: Rfam
GAGAGUAUAGCUCAGUGGUAGAGCACAUGCCUAGUAUGCAUGAGACUCCAGGUUUAAUUCCCAGGAUCCCCG